This 297-nucleotide long non-coding RNA is filed under the name Numida meleagris (helmeted guineafowl). RNAcentral describes it as "lncRNA (ENSNMEG00000022324.1)". Lineage: Eukaryota; Metazoa; Chordata; Aves; Galliformes; Numididae. The record is from RNAcentral.
ACCACCUGCUUCCUGAGAAACAGGAGCAAAUAAUCAAGGAUUCAUUGACAGUGUUUCCACUCAUCCUGUUUGGGAUGUGCAUUGGGGUUGGCCUGUCCAGCCAGCCCCAAAGGUAGCUCCUGUGCUGCGCUGCCACUGUGCGUUCAGUCUUGCUGCCCCCUAGUCUCUGAUCUUGAGUUUCAUCUCUCUAGUCAAACAGAGAGAGCACCACCUGCUCUGGAGAACUGAUUAAUAGUGGAGAAAAACCUCGUUUAUUGGGGAAAUAAAAAACGCCCAUUCUGAUGGUGAUAGAAAAAG